Molecule: ribosomal RNA, 301 nt
Filed under: uncultured bacterium
Lineage: Bacteria
Description: partial 16S ribosomal RNA
Rfam family: Bacterial small subunit ribosomal RNA
Source: RNAcentral
CAGUGCCGCGGGAAUACGGAGGGUGCAAGCGUUAUCCGGAUUUAUUGGGUUUAAAGGGUCCGUAGGCGGAUCUGUAAGUCAGUGGUGAAAUCUCACAGCUUAACUGUGAAACUGCCAUUGAUACUGCAGGUCUUGAGUAAAUUUGAAGUGGCUGGAAUAAGUAGUGUAGCGGUGAAAUGCAUAGAUAUUACUUAGAACACCAAUUGCGAAGGCAGGUCACUAAGAUUUAACUGACGCUGAUGGACGAAAGCGUGGGGAGCGAACAGGAUUAGAUACCCCUGUAGUCCCUGUCUCUUAUACC